AUGGCCAUCACCAUUGACAAGUACACCAUCCGCAUCCUUGUGCUGGCCCUGCUGUCUAUACACCUCUUGUCCUCUGCCACCGUCGCACACUGCGGAACCAUCACGGUCGGUGCGGAUGACGAGAAGAUCGAUCUGCCGAACGGGCUGUGCGGCAAGGAGAAGCUGUGCAGAGAGACACACUGCUACUGCUGCCUGUUAAACGACCGCUGUUACAGAACUAUGGAUGUGUGCAAGAGUCACUGCGACAACCCGCCAUCGUCUUCACAAGACAUGCUAGCGGCGGUGGCGGCGACGGCCACAGCGACAACCCCUGCUCCUUUACCCCCUGCGUAG
Molecule: ribosomal RNA, 333 nt
Filed under: Triticum aestivum (bread wheat)
Lineage: Eukaryota; Viridiplantae; Streptophyta; Magnoliopsida; Poales; Poaceae
Description: partial small subunit ribosomal RNA
Source: RNAcentral